This 450-nucleotide ribosomal RNA is filed under the name uncultured bacterium. Its description in RNAcentral is "partial 16S ribosomal RNA". It matches the Rfam family "Bacterial small subunit ribosomal RNA", at positions 354 to 796 of the family's 1533-position model. The record is from RNAcentral.
GUGGGGAAUCUUCCGCAAUGGACGAAAGUCUGACGGAGCGACGCCGCGUGAGUGAUGAAGGCCUUCGGGUCGUAAAGCUCUGUCAUCGGGGACGAAUGGUCGUUGGAGUGGAAAGCCAGCGAAAUGACGGUACCCGAGAAGGAAGCCACGGCUAACUACGUGCCAGCAGCCGCGGUAAUACGUAGGUGGCAAGCGUUGUCCGGAAUUAUUGGGCGUAAAGCGCGCGCAGGUGGGAUCUUAAGUCCAUUUUGAAAGUUCGGAGCUCAACUCCGUGAUGGGAUGGAAACUGGGAUUCUUGAGUACCGGAGAGGAAAGCGGAAUUCCCCGUGUAGCGGUGAAAUGCGUAGAUAUGGGGAGGAACACCAGUGGCGAAGGCGGCUUUCUGGACGGUGUCUGACACUGAGGCGCGAGAGCCAGGGGAGCGAACGGGAUUAGAAACCCUUGUAGUCC